Colius striatus (speckled mousebird) is the source of this 76-nucleotide small nucleolar RNA. It matches the Rfam family "Small nucleolar RNA SNORD83". Rfam says of the family: U83 (SNORD83) and U84 (SNORD84) are members of the C/D class of snoRNA which contain the C (UGAUGA) and D (CUGA) box motifs. The record is from Rfam. NCBI's taxonomy places the organism in Eukaryota, Metazoa, Chordata, Aves, Coliiformes, Coliidae.
GCCAAAUGAUGUGAAGUGUGUGACAUUAGCACUUUGUGCAAAGAUGACCUUCAUCUAUCACCCCAUACUGAUGGCU